RNAcentral lists this ribosomal RNA (429 nucleotides) under Chloroflexota bacterium. RNAcentral's name for it is "Chloroflexi bacterium partial 16S ribosomal RNA". It matches the Rfam family "Bacterial small subunit ribosomal RNA", at positions 355 to 776 of the family's 1533-position model. Lineage: Bacteria; Bacillati; Chloroflexota. The record is from RNAcentral.
UGGGGAAUAUUGCACAAUGGGCGCAAGCCUGAUGCAGCCAUGCCGCGUGUAUGAAGAAGGCCUUCGGGUUGUAAAGUACUUUCAGCGGGGAGGAAGGGAGUAAAGUUAAUACCUUUGCUCAUUGACGUUACCCGCAGAAGAAGCACCGGCUAACUCCGUGCCAGCAGCCGCGGUAAUACGGAGGGUGCAAGCGUUAAUCGGAAUUACUGGGCGUAAAGCGCACGCAGGCGGUUUGUUAAGUCAGAUGUGAAAUCCCCAGGCUCAACCUGGGAACUGCAUCUGAUACUGACAAGCUUGAGUCUCGUAGAGGGGGGUAGAAUUCCUGCUGUGGCGGUGAAAUGCGUAGAGAUCUGGAGGAAUACCGGUGGCGGAGGCGGCCCCCUGGACGAAGACUGACGCUCAGGUGCGAAAGAGUGGGGAGCAAACAGG